Molecule: ribosomal RNA, 346 nt
Filed under: uncultured eukaryote
Lineage: Eukaryota
Description: SSU rRNA
Rfam family: Eukaryotic small subunit ribosomal RNA
Source: RNAcentral
AUAGCGUAUAUUAAAGUUGCUGCAGUUAAAAAGCCCGUAGUCGAACUUCAGGCCUGGCUGGGCGGUCUGCCUCACGGUACGUACUGUCCGGCUGGGUCUUACCUCUUGGUGAGCCGGCAUGCCCUUUACUGGGUGUGUCGGGGAACCAGGACUUUUACCUUGAGAAAAUUAGAGUGUUCAAAGCAGGCCUGUGCCCGAAUACAUUAGCAUGGAAUAAUAAAAUAGGACGUGCGGUUCUAUUUUGUUGGUUUCUAGAGUCGUCGUAAUGAUUAAUAGGGAUAGUUGGGGGCAUUAGUAUUCAGUUGCUAGAGGUGAAAUUCUUGGAUUUACGCAAGACAAACUAUUG